RNAcentral lists this non-coding RNA (132 nucleotides) under Azospirillum lipoferum. Its description in RNAcentral is "TPP sequence". It matches the Rfam family "TPP riboswitch aptamer (THI element)". From Rfam's summary of the family: Vitamin B(1) in its active form thiamin pyrophosphate (TPP) is an essential coenzyme that is synthesised by coupling of pyrimidine and thiazole moieties in bacteria. The record is from RNAcentral. Lineage: Bacteria; Pseudomonadati; Pseudomonadota; Alphaproteobacteria; Rhodospirillales; Azospirillaceae.
CGCGCAUUCCAGGGGGGUCCCGACAGGGGGCUGAGAUACCAACGGCCGGGCGCGUCAGCGCAUCCGGCAGCGUGGUGACCCUUCGAACCUGAUCCGGGUCAUGCCGGCGAAGGGAGGGAACACGCGACCGGG